GGGCUGCAGUAGGGAAUAUUGGACAAUGGGCGAAAGCCUGAUCCAGCAACGCCGCGUGCACGAUGACGGCCUUCGGGUUGUAAAGUGCUUUUAGAGGAGAUGAGAAAGGACAGUAUCCUCUGAAUAAGCCUCGGCGAACUACGUGCCAGCAGCCGCGGUAAAACGUAGGAGGCAAGCGUUAUCCGGAUUUAUUGGGCGUAAAGCGCGUGCAGGCGGUUUGACAAGUUGGAUGUGAAAGCUCCUGGCUUAACUGGGAGAGGUCGUUCAAGACUGUCAGACUAGAGAAUGGGAGAGGGAGGUGGAAUUCCGGGUGUAGUGGUGAAAUGCGUAGAUAUCCGGAGGAACACCAGUGGCGAAAGCGGCCUCCUAGACCAUUUCUGACGCUAAGACGCGAAAGCUAGGGUAGCAAACGGGAUUAGAUACCCCUGUAGUC
RNAcentral lists this ribosomal RNA (433 nucleotides) under uncultured Anaerolineaceae bacterium. Its description in RNAcentral is "bacterial SSU rRNA". It matches the Rfam family "Bacterial small subunit ribosomal RNA", at positions 346 to 795 of the family's 1533-position model. The record is from RNAcentral. Lineage: Bacteria; Bacillati; Chloroflexota; Anaerolineae; Anaerolineales; Anaerolineaceae.